Long non-coding RNA from Lontra canadensis (Northern American river otter), 430 nucleotides. RefSeq lists it as uncharacterized. Lineage: Eukaryota; Metazoa; Chordata; Mammalia; Carnivora; Mustelidae. The transcript is spliced from 3 exons. The record is from RefSeq and is a predicted model, not a curated record.
ACAAUAAUAGCUAACAUUGGUCCAACCCAUAUUUUACAUGAGGCACUUGUGUUUAUUAGCUCCUUUACCCUCACCACAACCCGAUGAAGCUGAUAUCAUCAUUAUCUCCACUUCAUAGGUGUGGGAACUGAGGGUUGAGUUGAUCAGGUAGCCGAGAUCAGUCACAGAGAUGUAAGUGAGUCAGAAACCAUCUGGAACCUACACAAGCUGCAUCUAAAGACCCUGUGCUCUCACUUGGCUUAUGGUGUAAUUUAUGAAAGAAAGAGACAGGACGACACAACCCACAGGAAAUUCUCCAUGACAUUAAAGAAGAUCACGAAAGCCGCUCUGCAGCUGGAAGAAAAAGAAGGCACUGUGACUGGAGGGCCAGGGAAGAAGGAAGAGAAAGGUAUGACUAUGUAGGUGUGGGUCACCUGCAGGCAUCACAGCC